Molecule: ribosomal RNA, 250 nt
Filed under: uncultured Clostridia bacterium
Lineage: Bacteria; Bacillati; Bacillota; Clostridia
Description: partial 16S ribosomal RNA
Rfam family: Bacterial small subunit ribosomal RNA
Source: RNAcentral
UACGUAGGUGGCAAGCGUUGUCCGGAAUUAUUGGGCGUAAAGGGCGCGUAGGCGGUCCUUUAAGUCAGAUGUGAAAUCCCGAGGCUCAACUUCGGGCGUGCAUUUGAAACUGGAGGACUAGAGUGCAGGAGAGGUAAGUGGAAUUCCUAGUGUAGCGGUGAAAUGCGUAGAUAUUAGGAGGAACACCAGUGGCGAAGGCGACUUACUGGACUGUAACUGACGCUGAGGCGCGAAAGCGUGGGGAGCAAAC